This 1285-nucleotide long non-coding RNA is filed under the name Mus spicilegus (steppe mouse). RNAcentral's name for it is "lncRNA (ENSMSIG00000012177.1)". The record is from RNAcentral. Lineage: Eukaryota; Metazoa; Chordata; Mammalia; Rodentia; Muridae.
GUUCUCUCUGGCUCCAGUGUUCAUGUGACUGGCUAUAGGCAGAAUGAAGACAGAAGGCAAUGACGCAGUAAACCAAUGAAACUAAUCUUUGUCACUUCUAGUAUGAGACCAGUGGAGGGCAAAGGGGGGCAGUAUUAGGCCGCCACCCUCUAGACUCUAGUGAGAUUCUGUAUGUGCAAGUGCGGGGUAUCUGUGGUGUCUGGACAGUGUGGGCCGCUACUCUGUGUGUAGGAGGAAGGUUCAGAGGGUAGAUGCGACAUCCAGAGGCUAAGCCUGUCUAGCUCCUGUGCUUCGUGCUCUUCUGCGAGGACUCCGAGGAAGAUGGCAGUUCUCUCCAGGAGGCUAGACAAGGUCAUGUGAUUUGCAUUGGCCAAUGGGAGCCAUGCGCAUCACGCCUCAGAAAGAAAGGGCUAAGAGUCAGUCUACAAUCUGCCGCCUGCCCUUUCCUCCUGGCCUGGCACUGGGAAGAGACUGCUUUAGCAAGUACAUCACAUGUAUGUUGUCUUGAAGAAACAAACCCAACUUUCCUAGCUGGAACAUGAACUACCUCGCCUUGGUUAAUGUGACUGUGAUACUCGGGGGGAUAAAGGAACAAGAAGAAACAGGCCUUUUACAGAUUCCGAGGGCCACUCUACAGCAAAAAGUCAUCUUGGAGAGGCUGCUGGAAGAGUUGCUGCUACCGGUCAACAGAUGCUUUUAAAGGACAGCUUUCCACUGGGUCAGCAAGGAGGGUGUACUCUAUCCCUUGACCUCCCUCCAUCAACUCUUUGGGGGACAGCACCUUCAUGACAUGGGCACCUCUGAAGCAUGACUUCUUUAACUCAACAAACAGCCCGCCCUCUUUGGUCCUCAGUCGUGGCCUGAUACUGCAGGAUGAUCUCCUCAGCAAGACCCCUCGCAUACUAUCAUCUACUUCAGCAAACCUUUACCAGGCGAGACAACUUAUUCCUUGUUCCAGAAAUUCAGAUGUGGAAGAUGACUUGGGGGCCAUAAUGUUCUGCCUGCCAUACUGACCUAAGAUAGUACAAGCAUGGUCCUGAGAAGCAGACUCACGUGAAGAGAUGAGGUAUCAUCCACGCCUGGCAUGUACAUACCACAAUGACUUGGGUUUCUAACAAAUGGAGACCUGAGAUUGGCUGUGGGGGAAGAGGGUGCACUGGCUUGUGGAACAUCAACGGGGCUGGAAGGAAGUGACAGUCACUCUGGGGACUAUGAAAUUGAGAGGCCGCUGCUAAACACCAUGAAUGCUUUGAAGAGAGAAAUAAAAAAAGACAUUCACGGGGCA